UGUGUAGGCGGUGCUCUAAGUUUGGUGUGAAAUCUCCCGGCUUAACUGGGAGGGUGCAUCGAAAACUGGAAUGCUAGAGGGUGGGAGAGAUAAGCGGAAUUCCUGGUGUAGCGGUGAAAUGCGUAGAUAUCAGGAGGAACACCUGUGGUGUAGACAGCUUACUGGACCACUUCUGACGCUGAGACACGAAAGCGUGGUAGCAAACA
This 206-nucleotide ribosomal RNA is filed under the name uncultured bacterium. RNAcentral's name for it is "partial 16S ribosomal RNA". It matches the Rfam family "Bacterial small subunit ribosomal RNA", at positions 568 to 774 of the family's 1533-position model. The record is from RNAcentral.